CAGUAGCCGCGGUAAUACGAAGGGGGCUAGCGUUGUUCGGAGUUACUGGGCGUAAAGCGCACGUAGGCGGAUAUUUAAGUCAGGGGUGAAAUCCCAGAGCUCAACUCUGGAACUGCCUUUGAUACUGGGUAUCUUGAGUAUGGAAGAGGUUAGUGGAAUUGCGAGUGUAGAGGUGAAAUUCGUAGAUAUUCGCAGGAACACCAGUGGCGAAGGCGGCUAACUGGUCCAUAACUGACGCUGAGGUGCGAAAGCGUGGGGAGCAAAUAGGAUUAGAUACCCCGGUAGUCCCUGUCUCUUAUAC
This 301-nucleotide ribosomal RNA is filed under the name uncultured bacterium. RNAcentral describes it as "partial 16S ribosomal RNA". It matches the Rfam family "Bacterial small subunit ribosomal RNA", at positions 509 to 807 of the family's 1533-position model. The record is from RNAcentral.